Poecile atricapillus (Black-capped chickadee) is the source of this 2563-nucleotide long non-coding RNA. RefSeq lists it as uncharacterized. The transcript is spliced from 8 exons. NCBI's taxonomy places the organism in Eukaryota, Metazoa, Chordata, Aves, Passeriformes, Paridae. The record is from RefSeq and is a predicted model, not a curated record.
CCAGGACUCACGUUUGCUGGAGCUGCUGCAGUACAGCCCCUGUCAUUUCCCCAGGCAACUGACCCUGGGGAACAAAUGAAGGAACAGUCCACUACUGCAGCACAUCAUGUAAAGGAAAAUUGCUAUUGAGGCAGGAAGUCAUACAGAAAAUGCAAAGGCCACUGUGCAGUGCUUCCCAUCCUGCUUUAUAUCUGUUGUGACAAGGUUCUUGGGUUUGGAUUUGAGACUGUCUACAGUUUUUCUGCAAAGCAUGACUUACUGUGAUCAAGAUGGAGAUUUGGCCAAAUCUGUAAUUCCAACCAUCUCCUUACCAGCCAUCUCAAGCUACUGCUUCAUUCCUGCUGAGCUGAACUGGCCACAAGAGAGCUUCUCCCAACCAGCCCAUGAGGCAGAGCAAAUCAGCAAUCCAGGCAGAUGCAUUUCUGUAUAGUACUUCUGCACGCUUAGUCUCUUGACCCUGAAACACAGAUAUGCUGCAAAGUAGAAUUAUGUUAUGGUUCCAAGAAACCCAGAUCUUCCUGAGGCAGGACAUUGAGGGCAGCUGAGCUGUGGUAUGGCUGAAUCCUUUACAAGUUUCAGAUGAUUUCAGAUUUCUCUGGAGUUAUUUCAAUCACCUGAUAAAAGACAGAACCUCAGGUGUUCUCAUUUGGACUUUCUUUGUUCCAUGCUUUCCCCUCUACAAUCCCUUGAUCUUUGGCCAGCACUGAAGAGCCAGCUCUGGGAAGCUGGUGGCUGAUGCCAGACUUCAUAAAUCUUCCCACUGAAGUCUACUGAGCACCAAGGACUACGAAAACUCGGGCCAAACAGUCAAGAGAUCAGAAAACCUUGAUGCCUCAAGAUGUUUUUGAAUGCCUGAAAUGCUUGGGUGUGUCCGUGGUGGGAAGGGCAGGUCAGGCCCUGUCCAGGAGAGACAGUGAAAUGCUCCAGCCCAGAGCCUGGCAGAGCUGUCCAGCUGAUAGCUAGAUCUGUGGGUUUUUGUACCUUUUCUGCCUUUCUCUCUCUUUUUCUUCUAAUUCUCUUUUCAUGGAACAUUUUGGGUGACUUAACAUCUUAUGGGAUUAAAGGUUUAUAGUUAUAUGGGUUGAGCUAUAGGUUAAUAAGUGUUUUAUAUUGAAUUUGGUGUUGUAUUUAAACCUUUGCUAAAUUUCCUUGAUUUUCUUUAUUUUGCCAGUAACCUUUUGUGUAAUUUUGACAUCUUGAGUAUGUCUGGUUGGUUUUUUCUCCUGUGCACCAACCCAGAGUACAGGAACCUCAGUUUGCUCCCUGAUACUUGAAUGUUCUGGGGUGUUAAAAAUACUUAAUUUCCAAAUUUUACCUUGUCCAGCUUUUCAACACUAUAUCCUUUAGACAUUUGUAGAAGAAAAUGCUUCAUUAUCAGGGCACCUCUGGCUGCAAUGAGGAAAUGUUUGCUGUGACAGGGGAUUCCUUUUGAUAGCAGUUUCAAUGCAAACAUGUAAUCUGGGAUGGGGUACAUUAUUUUCACUCACCCACUGUGAAACUCAUUAGAAAAACCAUAUAUAUAUAUAUAUAUCUGUGCUGUCUCUCACAAUUUUACUGGCAGAGUUUGAGCACCAGCACAGAAUGCCACCAUCCACACUUAUUAACAUUCCUCACCUCCAGAAAUUAAUGCCAGCACCUCAACUCUCCUUGCAGCCAUCCAGUUUUAAGUAUUAAUACACCAAAUAGUUGGAAUCCACCCCUAACCUCCUCUUUGGAUUUAAGAACACACUAAUUCUACUGAAAGACUGACUAUACCUUUUUUUUAAACAUCCCUCGAGCUUUGAAGGCAGCAGAACAUAUAUCCCAGUUCUGACUGCUGGAGCUUUGCAUUAAUCUAAGUGGCCAAGAAGAUGAAACCAGUGUAAUAUGAUUAGCAAAAUGACAGAGAGCAGCUGAGGUGAUUAAGGGAGAGAGUUUGGUGUCCACAUGUCUCAUACUCAGCCCUAGAAUGUUGCAGACAUGAUAGUGGAUUGCUUUGAAAAAUCCUUGCAAUGUUUGUUUAUUUAAACAAGUUGCCUGUAAUAGAGCAGUUCCCUGGAAACAAGUGAGUGUUUCUUUACAUCUUUUAUCCCUCCAAGGCUGAAAUCACCUUUGAGCAAUAAUGAAGUAUUGCAGAUUGUGCUGGAUGUGGAACAAUACACAGAAGUGGCCAUUUCAUAAACCAUCUAUCUUGUAAGCACACAUUAUUACAGAAAAUUACAUCAUUUAUCUGAGUACUAGUAGCCUUUCUUGUAAUAACACUGCAUGGAAAAUCAGGUAUUCAUUCAAGUGUAUUUGUGUCACAAACACUGAAAUUUUUCUUCUAGAUUUACCGAAUAAGUUUAAGAGGUUAGAGAGAAAAGACAAGUGACUUCACAAGUUUAAGCUCCUUGGAUAAAAGAGACGUUAAUAUUUUUAGUCUUUGUUCUGGAAUUAAAUUGACAAAAUGAAUGUAAAUGCUUGUCUUUGCUAAUAUUGUGUGAUCAUGUCAUAUUUGAAUUUACAGUAUUUUUAGUAUUUAAAUUUGGCCACAGUAGGUUCACAACUGACUGCUACAGUUCUUGUUGUCUUCAAACUAUUCUUA